UACGUAGGGUGCGAGCGUUAAUCGGAAUUACUGGGCGUAAAGGGAGCGUAGGCGGGCUAUCAAGUCUGGGGUGAAAUACCACGGCUCAACCUCGGAACUGCCUCCAAAACUACAAGUCUGGAGCAAGAUAGAGGCAAGUGGAAUUGCGAGUGUAGAGGUGAAAUUCGUAGAUAUUCGCAGGAACACCAGUGGCGAAGGCGACUUGCUGGAUCUUUGCUGACGCUGAGACGCGAAAGCGUGGGGAGCAAACAGG
RNAcentral lists this ribosomal RNA (253 nucleotides) under uncultured bacterium. Its description in RNAcentral is "partial 16S ribosomal RNA". It matches the Rfam family "Bacterial small subunit ribosomal RNA", at positions 524 to 776 of the family's 1533-position model. The record is from RNAcentral.